GACGAACGUUGGCGGCGUGCUUAAUACAUGCAAGUCAACUGAAGCAGUGGUAGCAAUAUCGCUGUGGAGGUGGCGCACGGGUGAGUAACACGUAGGUAAUCUGCCUUCAGGUCUGGCAUAACUCCGGGAAACCGGGGCUAAUAGCAGAUGAUGCAGCGGCUCGACAUCGAGACAGUUGUUAAAGCUAUGGCGCCUGAAGAUGAGCCUGCGUCUGAUUAGCUAGUUGGCGGGGUAACGGCCCACCAAGGCAACGAUCAGUAGCUGGUCUGAGAGGAUGAUCAGCCACACUGGAACUGAGGCACGGUCCAGACUCCUACGGGAGGCAGCAGUAAGGAAUAUUGCUCAAUGGGAGAAAUCCUGAAGCAGCAACGCCGCGUGAGGGACGAAGGGCUUUGGCUUGUAAACCUCUGUAGUGAGAGAAACAAAUCCCAAUCUUUGGGACAUGAUGGUAUCUCAAAAGUAAGCCCCGGCUAACUACGUG
RNAcentral lists this ribosomal RNA (481 nucleotides) under uncultured bacterium. RNAcentral describes it as "partial 16S ribosomal RNA". It matches the Rfam family "Bacterial small subunit ribosomal RNA", at positions 28 to 507 of the family's 1533-position model. The record is from RNAcentral.